CAAUAGCGUAUAUUAAAGUUGUUGCGGUUAAAAGUUCGUAGUUGGAUUUCUGCCGAGGACGUCCGGUCCGCCCUCUGGGUGAGUACAUGGCACGGCCUGGGCAUCUUCUUGGGGAACGUAUCUGCACUUGACUGUGUGGUGCGGUAUCCAGGAUUUUUACUUUGAGGAAAUUAGAGUGUUUCAAGCAGGCACACGCCUUGAAUACAUUAUCAUGGAAUAAUAAGAUAGGACCUCGGUUCUAUUUUGUUGGUUUCUAGACAUGAGGUAAUGAUUAAUAGGGAUAGUUGGGGGCAUUCGCAUUUAACUGUCAGGGGUGAAAUUCUUGGAUUUGUUAGGGACGGACUACUGCGAAAGCAUUUGCCAAGGAUGUUUUCAUUGAUCAAGAACGAAAGUUAGGGGAUCGAAGAUGAUUAGAUACCGU
Molecule: ribosomal RNA, 421 nt
Filed under: uncultured eukaryote
Lineage: Eukaryota
Description: SSU rRNA
Rfam family: Eukaryotic small subunit ribosomal RNA
Source: RNAcentral